CUCAAAGGAAUUGACGGGGACCCGCACAAGCGGUGGAUGAUGUGGAUUAAUUCGAUGCAACGCGAAAAACCUUACCUACCCUUGACAUGUCUGGAAUCCCGAAGAGAUUUGGGAGUGCUCGCAAGAGAACCGGAACACAGGUGCUGCAUGGCUGUCGUCAGCUCGUGUCGUGAGAUGUUGGGUUAAGUCCCGCAACGAGCGCAACCCUUGCCAUUAGUUGCUACAUUCAGUUGGGCACUCUAAUGGGACUGCCGGUGACAAACCGGAGGAAGGUGGGGAUGACGUCAAGUCCUCAUGGCCCUUAUGGGUAGGGCUUCACACGUCAUACAAUGGUCGGGACAGAGGGUUGCCAAGCCGCGAGGUGGAGCCAAUCUCAGAAACCCGAUCGUAGUCCGGAUCGCAGUCUGCAACUCGACUGCGUGAAGUCGGAAUCGCUAGUAAUCGCGGAUCAGCAUGUCGCGGUGAAUACGUUCCCGGGUCUUGUACACACCGCCCGUCAC
Molecule: ribosomal RNA, 500 nt
Filed under: uncultured bacterium
Lineage: Bacteria
Description: bacterial SSU rRNA
Rfam family: Bacterial small subunit ribosomal RNA
Source: RNAcentral